UCCCGGGCACCUCAAAACCCCCCCGAACCCGCCCCAAGCUCCCCCAGGUCCCGGCUCCGCCCCUCCCGGGUCCUCCCGCCACGGCCGCGGCCACCGGAGCAGUUUUGGGGUCCCACCAUGAGCUGCUCCCUGGACCUGGAUCAAGCCCCCACCCUGGAUGAGCUGCUGCGGGGCUGCGUCGAUGCCUUUGAUGCACAGGGGAAGGUUCGGGACCCCCAACUCGUCCGGCUCUUCCUGGCGACCCACCCCUGGUACCUCCCCCAGGCCGAGGUGGCCGGGAAGCUGCUGAGCCUAUAUCCUUGGGGAUCCCCCGGGA
This is a long non-coding RNA of Lepidothrix coronata (blue-crowned manakin), 316 nucleotides long. RefSeq lists it as uncharacterized. The record is from RefSeq and is a predicted model, not a curated record. Lineage: Eukaryota; Metazoa; Chordata; Aves; Passeriformes; Pipridae. The transcript has 3 exons.